UUAAAGUUAUAGUCCCCCGGCCCUCUGGGCUGGGGUCUUCUAUACCACCCUUUGUUUAUUACACCUUUGUUGCUUUGGCAGGCCUGCCCUCGGGCUGCUGGCUCCGGCCGGCUCGCGUCUGCCAGAGGACCUAAACUCUGUUUGUAUAUGAAGUCUGAGUACUAUAUAAUAGUUAAAACUUUCAACAACGGAUCUCUUGGUUCUGGCAUCGAUGAAGAACGCAGCGAAAUGCGAUAAGUAAUGUGAAUUGCAGAAUUCAGUGAAUCAUCGAAUCUUUGAACGCACAUUGCGCCCCCUGGUAUUCCGGGGGGCAUGCCUGUUCGAGCGUCAUUACAACCCUCAAGCUCUGCUUGGUGUUGGGCCCCGCCGCCCCGGCGGGCCCUAAAAUCAGUGGCGGUGCCGUCCGGCUCCGAGCGUAGUAAUUCUUCUCGCUCUGGAGGUCCGGGUGUGUGCUCGCCAGCAACCCCCAAUUUUUUUCAGGUUGACCUCGGAUCAGGUAGGGAUACCCGCUGAACUUAAGCAUAUCAAUA
Molecule: ribosomal RNA, 530 nt
Filed under: Geomyces sp.
Lineage: Eukaryota; Fungi; Ascomycota; Leotiomycetes; Thelebolales; Pseudeurotiaceae
Description: eukaryotic LSU rRNA
Rfam family: 5.8S ribosomal RNA (bases 177-330)
Source: RNAcentral